This 386-nucleotide ribosomal RNA is filed under the name uncultured bacterium. Its description in RNAcentral is "bacterial SSU rRNA". It matches the Rfam family "Bacterial small subunit ribosomal RNA", at positions 28 to 417 of the family's 1533-position model. The record is from RNAcentral.
GACGAACGCUGGCGGCGUGCUUAACACAUGCAAGUCGAGCGGUAAGGCCCUUUCGGGGGUACACGAGCGGCGAACGGGUGAGUAACACGUGGGUGACCUGCCUUUAGCUCUGGGAUAAGCCUGGGAAACCGGGUCUAAUACCGGAUAUGACUCCGCGGCGCAUGUUGUGGGUGGAAAGCCUUGUGCGGCUGGAGAUGGGCCCGCGGCCUAUCAGCUUGUUGGUGGGUGAUGGCCUACCAAGGCGACGACGGGUAGCCGGCCUGAGAGGGCGACCGGCCACACUGGGACUGAGACACGGCCCAGACUCCUACGGGAGGCAGCAGUGGGGAAUCUUGCGCAAUGGGCGAAAGCCUGACGCAGCGACGCCGCGUGAGGGAUGACGGCCU